Molecule: ribosomal RNA, 429 nt
Filed under: Chloroflexota bacterium
Lineage: Bacteria; Bacillati; Chloroflexota
Description: Chloroflexi bacterium partial 16S ribosomal RNA
Rfam family: Bacterial small subunit ribosomal RNA
Source: RNAcentral
UGGGGAAUAUUGCACAAUGGGCGCAAGCCUGAUGCAGCCAUGCCGCGUGUAUGAAGAAGGCCUUCGGGUUGUAAAGUACUUUCAGCGGGGAGGAAGGGAGUAAAGUUAAUACCUUUGCUCAUUGACGUUACCCGCAGAAGAAGCACCGGCUAACUCCGUGCCAGCAGCCGCGGUAAUACGGAGGGUGCAAGCGUUAAUCGGAAUUACUGGGCGUAAAGCGCACGCAGGCGGUUUGUUAAGUCAGAUGUGAAAUCCCCGGGCUCAACCUGGGAACUGCAUCUGAUACUGGCAAGCUUGAGUCUCGUAGGGGGGGGUAGAAUUCCAGGUGUAGCGGUGAAAUGCGUAGGGAUCUGGAGGAAUACCGGUGGCGAAGGCGGCCCCCCGGACGAAGACUAACGCUCAGGUGCGAAAGCGUGGGGAGCAAACAGG